Molecule: RNA transcript, 1230 nt
Organism: Eucalyptus grandis
Lineage: Eukaryota; Viridiplantae; Streptophyta; Magnoliopsida; Myrtales; Myrtaceae
Gene name: bet1-like SNARE 1-2
Exons: 6
Source: RefSeq, a predicted model, not a curated record
UUGGGCCAAUACCGAAAGCUCUAGCACUUCCCUCAGUCGGUUAAGCUCGAAACGUACGUCUUCCCCGUUUCACCGUUCUCCGGUUUCUCUCCUCCACCUCGUCCGCCGACGCAGAGAUCUCCCUGCACCGCCGCGAGGAUCCGCCGGCGCCGUCGCCGUCGCCGUCGCCUCCGCCGUCUCCGUCCGCGAUCCUUCCCGACGCUCGGGCCGAGCGAGCCUCGAUCCGGAUCGCAUUCGCCUCCCUCCGAUCCCGCGUCCUCUCUCUCUCUCUCUCUCUUCGAACUCCGGUCCAGAUUGGAUCCCUCCUCCGCGGCUCGCGAAGGAGCGAAGGGAGGAAAGAGCGGCUGCCGGCUGAAGUUCCGAUCGCGCGCUCGAGCGAUGAACUACAGAAGGGAGCCCCGUGCUGCUAAAGCGGCUCUUUUUGACGGUUAUAAUGGUCUUGAGGAAGGCCUUAGAGCCUCCUCAUCCUACUCCCAUCAGAUUAAUGAGCAUGACAAUGACAAAGCAGUUGACAGUUUACAAGAUAGAGUUAUAUUCCUGAAAAGAUUAACAGGGGAUAUUCAUGAGGAGGUAGAAAGUCAUAAUCGCUUUCUUGAUCAAAUGGGCAACAGCAUGGAUUCAUCAAGAGGUGUCAUGUCAGGAACCAUGGAUCGAUUUAAGAGGUGCCGCAUUUACUUGAACCGGGGGAAUUACCUCUUCAAAUUUCCUCUUGGUGGGAAGGUUUCAUAGUUGAGUUCCUUACAACUUGGCAGAAUGAAUAUUUGUUCAAAAUCUUCAUCAUGUAAAAGUUUCUUGGAUAUUUCAUGCAUGGUUGAGGGAACAACUCUUGAACUUCCUCUCUUAAUAUCCGGUGAAAGUUUGGUUUCACAGAAAAGGCAUGGUCCUUUAAUCUAAGGAGUUCUUUUUGAUCUUCAAUUGAAACUGUAGCAUGGAAUGGUGGAGAGAACCGCUUGACGUAAGUCAAAUUCCUGGCUAGCUUGUCACUACCUUGAUAUGAACUAUAGAAUCAUGUAAAUCCCGAUUGAAUUUCAUUUAGCCAGAAUUCUUUUCUGAUUCUCUGAGAUUAGUAUCAUUUUGCCCCAUUUUAUCCCCUGGGAUAUCCCUAUAUAAGUCAAGUGGCUAAUGGCAAGAACUUGUUCAUAAUAUUGCUCUAGUUAAACCUCUAAUCCGGAGAGACCAUUCCGGAGAAUAGAGAACAUGAAUUGACAGUGGACUAUGCACCUUUGGCAA